RNAcentral lists this ribosomal RNA (115 nucleotides) under Cebus imitator (Panamanian white-faced capuchin). Lineage: Eukaryota; Metazoa; Chordata; Mammalia; Primates; Cebidae. The record is from RNAcentral.
GUCUAUGGCCAUACCACCGUGAGCCGGAUCUCGUCUGAUCUUGGAAGCUAAGCAGGGUUGGGCCUGGUUAGUACAUGGAUGGGAGACUGCCUGGGAAUACAGGGAGCUGUAGGAN